UACGUAGGGGGCAAGCGUUGUCCGGAUUUAUUGGGCGUAAAGAGCGUGUAGGCGGCCUGACAGGUCUGCUGUGAAAACUCGAGGCUCAACCUCGAGAUGUCGACGGAAACCGUCUGGCUAGAGUCCGGAAGAGGAGAGUGGAAUUCCUGGUGUAGCGGUGAAAUGCGCAGAUAUCAGGAAGAACACCUAUGGCGAAGGCAGCUCUCUGGGACGGUACUGACGCUGAGACGCGAAAGCGUGGGGAGCGAACAGG
Molecule: ribosomal RNA, 253 nt
Filed under: uncultured bacterium
Lineage: Bacteria
Description: partial 16S ribosomal RNA
Rfam family: Bacterial small subunit ribosomal RNA
Source: RNAcentral